UGAAAAUCAACUAUUCAAUAUGUAAUGACUACCUACUCUGUCUUUGAUACUGUGAUAAGCACUAAGAUACUGUAACUGCCAACAUGGAGAUUCAGUCUAGUGCAAGACAUAGGUAACAAGCAAGGUCUACUAAAGUUGUGCUUGUCUUGGCCUUUUCAUCUCGACAUUUAACGGAGAAGAAUUUCAAUUGUUUGCAGUCAAUCCCACAGUGCUUUUCCAAUUUCCCUUUGUUUUCCUUGGGAUUUUCAAGAAACCUCACGUGCUCUACAUAAUUCAGUUAUGAUUCCAGAGGAACUUGGUGCCUCAAAGUGACAGAUGAUUUUUAAAAAUAUUUCAACACCUGUGUAUUAGAAGCAGCAUUGCAUUAAGAAUCAAAGAGUCCAGAGCUAGAUGCCAGGCCCUGCCAUUAAUUAGUUGUGUGACCUUCAGACACAGUGAGAAGAUGGCCAUGUGCAAGCCGGGAGGAGGGGCCUUGUCAAAAUAUGCCCAUACUGCUACCCUGAUCUCCCAUUUCCAUCUCCAGAACGAUGAGGAAACUGAGUCACAGAGAAUUUAA
RNAcentral lists this long non-coding RNA (556 nucleotides) under Mustela putorius furo (domestic ferret). RNAcentral describes it as "lncRNA (ENSMPUG00000027123.1)". The record is from RNAcentral. Lineage: Eukaryota; Metazoa; Chordata; Mammalia; Carnivora; Mustelidae.